Ribosomal RNA from Cercocebus atys (sooty mangabey), 99 nucleotides. NCBI's taxonomy places the organism in Eukaryota, Metazoa, Chordata, Mammalia, Primates, Cercopithecidae. The record is from Ensembl.
AUCUACGGUAAUACCACCCUGAUACUCAAAGCUAAUCAGGGUCGGGCCUUGCAACUAUUUGGAUGGGAGAGCAUCUGGGAAUACCAGCUGCUAUAGGCU